UAAGCAAUUAUACCGUGAAACUGCGAAUGGCUCAUUAAAUCAGUUAUCGUUUAUUUGAUAAUACCUUACUACUUGGAUAACCGUGGUAAUUCUAGAGCUAAUACAUGCUGAAAAUCCCGACUUCGGAAGGGAUGUGUUUAUUAGAUAAAAAACCAAUGCCCUUCGGGGCUUUUUGGUGAUUCAUGAUAACUUUACGGAUCGCAUAGCCUUGCGCUGGCGACGGUUCAUUCAAAUUUCUGCCCUAUCAACUUUCGAUGGUAAGGUAUUGGCUUACCAUGGUUUCAACGGGUAACGGGGAAUUAGGGUUCGAUUCCGGAGAGGGAGCCUGAGAAACGGCUACCACAUCCAAGGAAGGCAGCAGGCGCGCAAAUUACCCAAUCCCGACACGGGGAGGUAGUGACAAUAAAUACUGAUACAGGGCUCUUUUGGGUCUUGUAAUUGGAAUGAGUACAAUUUAAACCUCUUAACGAGGAACAAUUGGAGGGCAAGUCUGGUGCCAGCAGCCGCGGUAAUUCCAGCUCCAAUAGCGUAUAUGAAAGUUGUUGCAGUUAAAAAGCUCGUAGUUGAAACUUGGGCCUGGCUGGCGGGUCCGCCUCACCGCGUGCACUC
RNAcentral lists this ribosomal RNA (609 nucleotides) under Alternaria burnsii. RNAcentral's name for it is "SSU rRNA". It matches the Rfam family "Eukaryotic small subunit ribosomal RNA", at positions 66 to 679 of the family's 1831-position model. Lineage: Eukaryota; Fungi; Ascomycota; Dothideomycetes; Pleosporales; Pleosporaceae. The record is from RNAcentral.